RNAcentral lists this ribosomal RNA (253 nucleotides) under uncultured bacterium. RNAcentral's name for it is "partial 16S ribosomal RNA". It matches the Rfam family "Bacterial small subunit ribosomal RNA", at positions 524 to 776 of the family's 1533-position model. The record is from RNAcentral.
UACGUAGGGUGCGAGCGUUGUCCGGAAUUACUGGGCGUAAAGAGCUCGUAGGCGGUUUGUCGCGUCUGCUGUGAAAACUGGAGGCUCAACCUCCAGCCUGCAGUGGGUACGGGCAAACUAGAGUGCGGUAGGGGAGAUUGGAAUUCCUGGUGUAGCGGUGGAAUGCGCAGAUAUCAGGAAGAACACCCGUGGCGAAAGCGGCUCUCUGGAACGGUACUGACGCUGAGACGCGAAAGCGUGGGGAGCGAACAGG